CAUAAGAUACUUAUAAUAAGAUCAGGUCUUUUAAACCUGAAAUAGUAGAAUCUACUUCUUGUGA
This 64-nucleotide transfer RNA is filed under the name Astacopsis gouldi. RNAcentral's name for it is "tRNA-Lys". Lineage: Eukaryota; Metazoa; Arthropoda; Malacostraca; Decapoda; Parastacidae. The record is from RNAcentral.